This 353-nucleotide long non-coding RNA is filed under the name Homo sapiens (human). RNAcentral describes it as "HSALNT0131566". Lineage: Eukaryota; Metazoa; Chordata; Mammalia; Primates; Hominidae. The record is from RNAcentral.
GCACAGUGGCUCACACUUGUAAUUCCAUCACUUUGGGAGGCUGAGGCAGGAGAUCACUGGAAGCCAAGAGUUUGAGACCAGCCUGGGCCAUGAAACAAGGCUCCCUUUACAGGAAAAAAAAAAAAAAAAAAAAAAGGAAAAAAGAGUGUACAGAUUGGGUCUCACCAUGUUUAUAUGUAUCUCUCUCUCUCUCUCUCUAUAUAUAUAUAUAUCUAUAUAUAUCUGUUGCCCAGGCUGGAGUGCAGUGGCACGAUCUUGGCUCACUGCAACCUCCGCCUCCCAGGUUCAAGCAAUUCUCCUGCCUCGGCCUCCAAGUAGCUGGGAUUACAGGCUUCCACCACCAUGCCUGGCUA